GUUUUCUAUGGAUCUUAACCUAGUUUUAUGUACUAACAUAAUAGAUUGGAUUUGAGAAUAAGCCAUUUCCUUCAUAUCCCCUUUAAAUACCAUUGUGUAUUCACUGCAAUUCUGAUUUGUAUAGUUUCUUUUUCUGAAAUUCAAUCCUAACUAUAUAUUUUAACUGUUAUCUCAGUAUUCUGCUAGGUUCCAUAAGAAAUUCAAACAAAGUAUCAGAUAUAAUUUCUCUGAUCGAAGACUGUCCAAUCUAGUCAAGUAGUCGAGACACAGAACUACAUGGCUUCCGGCAGUCAAGCAACAGAAUAAGUGAAGUGGCAGGAUUUGGAUAAUAGUUGAAUGGGUGAAGAUUAUUUUCCAAACAAAGAUAAUAAUAAAAUAACCAUAGUUCUAAUGAUAGAACUGAGUGAAAUAUAUAUGCCAUGAGAAAGAAUAAACUAUCUUGAUUUGGAGGUAUGGGGGGAGGAGUAGGAAAUACUGGUAAACUAUUACAUGAUUAGAUGGCUUGAGCCUGAAAUAUCAGGCAGACAAGUUUUACCCAAGGUAUAUCAACUUGACUAUGAAAUAAAACAGGCUUGAGUUAGGGAGUCAGUAGAAGGAAAAAGAAGUAGAUCAUAAGUAUGCAUAGAGUAUACAUUGGUAAGAUUCAGAGCUAAGUUAGAUAACCUCUAAGAUUUAACAA
Molecule: long non-coding RNA, 679 nt
Filed under: Bos taurus (domestic cattle)
Lineage: Eukaryota; Metazoa; Chordata; Mammalia; Artiodactyla; Bovidae
Description: long non-coding RNA NONBTAT010913
Source: RNAcentral